AGUUAGGUAGCUUAAGAAAAGCAAAUACUUUGAAAGUAUUAUAAGGAGGUUUAAUUCCCCCACUAACUU
Molecule: transfer RNA, 69 nt
Filed under: Rhynocoris fuscipes
Lineage: Eukaryota; Metazoa; Arthropoda; Insecta; Hemiptera; Reduviidae
Description: tRNA-Ser
Rfam family: tRNA
About the family: Transfer RNA (tRNA) molecules are approximately 80 nucleotides in length. Their secondary structure includes four short double-helical elements and three loops (D, anti-codon, and T loops). Further hydrogen bonds mediate the characteristic L-shaped molecular structure. tRNAs have two regions of fundamental functional importance: the anti-codon, which is responsible for specific mRNA codon recognition, and the 3' end, to which the tRNAs corresponding amino acid is attached (by aminoacyl-tRNA synthetases). tRNAs cope with the degeneracy of the genetic code in two manners: having more than one tRNA (with a specific anti-codon) for a particular amino acid; and 'wobble' base-pairing, i.e. permitting non-standard base-pairing at the 3rd anti-codon position.
Source: RNAcentral